GGGGGAAAAAUUAAUAAGAUAAAAUAAAAAAAAAAAUUAAAAAUAUUAUAAUGGGGGUUAAAGUAUUUUUAAAAAAAAAUUUUAUUAUUUAUAGGGGAAUAGUAUUGUGAAAGAAUUUUGAAAAAUUUUGAAAAAGAAUUAUUUUAAAAGUAAAUUUAAUUUAUUGUAUCUUGUGUAUCAGAGUUUAUUAAAUAUUAUAUUUAUGAAAAUAUAUCUCGAAUUUAAAAGAGAUAAUUAAUUAAUAAAGUUAAUGUUAUAUAAUUAUUUUAAAUAAUUAAUUUGAAAUGAAAUGUUAAUCGUUUUUAAAUAUAUCUAGUUUUUUUAGAAAAAAAUUCAAUUUUAAAUUAUUUUUUUUUUAAUUAAAUUUUUAAUAAAAAAAAAUAAAUAAUUAAAUAUUUUAGGGGAUAAGCUUUAAAUUAAAUUUUUAUAUAUAAAUUAAAUUUAUAAUAAGAUUUUUAGAAUUUAUAUUUUUUAUAAAUUAUAAUUUUUUAUAAAUAAUUUUAUUAAUAUUAAAAUUUAAUUAAUUAUUUUAAAUUUUUAUAAAAAAAUAUUUUUUAAUUAAAAUAAAUUAGGAAUAAUGAUAGAAUUAGUAUAUUUUUUAUAAAAAUUUAAAAUGAAUUUUAAUUAAGAAAAAGGAAUUCGGCAAAAAUUUAUAUUCACUUGUUUAUCAAAAACAUGUCUUUUUGAAAAUAAUAAAAAGUCUAAUCUGCCCACUGAAUUUAUUUAAAGGGCUGCAGUAUAUUGACUGUACAAAGGUAGCAUAAUCAAUAGUCUUUUAAUUGAAGACUUGUAUGAAUGAUUUGAUGAAAUAUGAACUGUCUCUUUUUUAAAAAUAAAAUUUAAUUUUUUAGUUAAAAAGCUAAAAUAAUUAUAAAAGACGAGAAGACCCUAUAGAGUUUUAUAGUUAUUUAAUUUAAAAAUUUUAUAUAUAAUUUAAAUUUAAAAUUAAUUAAUUAUUUUAUUGGGGUGAUAGAAAAAUUAAAAAAACUUUUUUUAAAAAUUUAACAUUAAUUUAUGAAAUUAUGAUCCAUAAUUUAUGAUUAAAAGAAUCAAUUACCUUAGGGAUAACAGCGUAAUUUUUUUUUUUAGUACAAAUAAGAAAAAGAGUUUGCGACCUCGAUGUUGGAUUAAGAUAAAAUUUAAAUGCAAAAGUUUAAAAUUUUGAUCUGUUCGAUCAUUAAAAUCUUACAUGAUCUGAGUUCAAACCGGUGUAAGCCAGGUUGGUUUCUAUCUUUAUAUUAAUAUAAUAGUUUAGUACGAAAGGAUCAAUUAUUGUAAAUAAUUUAAUUUGAUAUAAUGAAUAUUAUUAAUUAUAAUUUAAU
Molecule: ribosomal RNA, 1322 nt
Rfam family: Eukaryotic large subunit ribosomal RNA (bases 1064-1222)